CAUCUGUUGUUGUCCUCUUACUGCUAGACAUGACUUCAGCACCAAGGUGAUUCAUCUGUUGUUGUCCUCUUACUGAUAGACAUGACUUCACCACUAAGGUGAUUCAUCUGUUGACUCGAACUCACUCAUGAGACAACGCACAUGGCAAACAAAUCAAGCUUUUGGCAAAGGGUAACACAAAACUCCCCUCUCUAAAAAGGAAAUCAUAAUUAGUAACUGAAAACACCUGAUUGUCAUUAUAGUCUCGAGGGCGAUCUCUGCCACCUUCUGGUGACAGGCGGAACAAUGACAGUACCUAUUCUAGUAUUCUAGGAGCAUCUUCACACGCUGAGCUGGGACAACCGCCACGUAGUUGGUUGAAGUCCCGAACAAGGCCCGGGUCCAGAAUGUCCCAGGCAGGCACCCAUGCCCACUCCUCUGGGCCGUAACACUCCCAGUCCACCAGGUACUGCAGGUUGCCCCGGACCCAACGAACCUUUAGCAGACGCCGGGCGGCUGUCAACCGGUCGAGGGAGCGGAGGGGCCGGUGUAGUAGGGAGAAGGACUGGUCCUUACCAACUUGAGACAGGAUUGCUGAGGCUCAAGCUCUUGAGCACUUUUAAUAAUGUGAAAUGUCAGAAUAAUAGUAGAGAG
Molecule: long non-coding RNA, 633 nt
Filed under: Salmo salar (Atlantic salmon)
Lineage: Eukaryota; Metazoa; Chordata; Actinopteri; Salmoniformes; Salmonidae
Description: lncRNA (ENSSSAG00000113167.1)
Source: RNAcentral